RNAcentral lists this ribosomal RNA (1135 nucleotides) under Salmonella enterica subsp. enterica serovar Kentucky. RNAcentral's name for it is "bacterial SSU rRNA". It matches the Rfam family "Bacterial small subunit ribosomal RNA", at positions 1 to 1126 of the family's 1533-position model. The record is from RNAcentral. Lineage: Bacteria; Pseudomonadati; Pseudomonadota; Gammaproteobacteria; Enterobacterales; Enterobacteriaceae.
AAAUUGAAGAGUUUGAUCAUGGCUCAGAUUGAACGCUGGCGGCAGGCCUAACACAUGCAAGUCGAACGGUAGCACAGAGAGCUUGCUCUCGGGUGACGAGUGGCGGACGGGUGAGUAAUGUCUGGGAAACUGCCCGAUGGAGGGGGAUAACUACUGGAAACGGUAGCUAAUACCGCAUAACGUCGCAAGACCAAAGUGGGGGGACCUUCGGGCCUCACACCAUCGGAUGUGCCCAGAUGGGAUUAGCUAGUAGGUGGGGUAACGGCUCACCUAGGCGACGAUCCCUAGCUGGUCUGAGAGGAUGACCAGCCACACUGGAACUGAGACACGGUCCAGACUCCUACGGGAGGCAGCAGUGGGGAAUAUUGCACAAUGGGCGCAAGCCUGAUGCAGCCAUGCCGCGUGUAUGAAGAAGGCCUUCGGGUUGUAAAGUACUUUCAGCGAGGAGGAAGGCGUUGUGGUUAAUAACCACAGCGAUUGACGUUACUCGCAGAAGAAGCACCGGCUAACUCCGUGCCAGCAGCCGCGGUAAUACGGAGGGUGCAAGCGUUAAUCGGAAUUACUGGGCGUAAAGCGCACGCAGGCGGUUUGUUAAGUCAGAUGUGAAAUCCCCGGGCUCAACCUGGGAACUGCAUUUGAAACUGGCAAGCUUGAGUCUCGUAGAGGGGGGUAGAAUUCCAGGUGUAGCGGUGAAAUGCGUAGAGAUCUGGAGGAAUACCGGUGGCGAAGGCGGCCCCCUGGACAAAGACUGACGCUCAGGUGCGAAAGCGUGGGGAGCAAACAGGAUUAGAUACCCUGGUAGUCCACGCCGUAAACGAUGUCUACUUGGAGGUUGUGCCCUUGAGGCGUGGCUUCCGGAGCUAACGCGUUAAGUAGACCGCCUGGGGAGUACGGCCGCAAGGUUAAAACUCAAAUGAAUUGACGGGGGCCCGCACAAGCGGUGGAGCAUGUGGUUUAAUUCGAUGCAACGCGAAGAACCUUACCUGGUCUUGACAUCCACGGAAGUUUUCAGAGAUGAGAAUGUGCCUUCGGGAACCGUGAGACAGGUGCUGCAUGGCUGUCGUCAGCUCGUGUUGUGAAAUGUUGGGUUAAGUCCCGCAACGAGCGCAACCCUUAUCCUUUGUUGCCAGCGGUU